AUACUAAGAACUUUCCAGAGAUGGAUUGGUGCCUUCGGGAACUUAGAUACAGGUGCUGCAUGGCUGUCGUCAGCUCGUGUCGUGAGAUUGUUGGGUUAAGUCCCGNAACGAGCGCAACCCUUUUCCUUAUUUGCCAGCGGGUCAUGCCGGGAACUUUAAGGAUACUGCCAGUGACAAACUGGAGGAAGGCGGGGACGACGUCAAGUCAUCAUGGCCCUUACGGCCAGGGCUACACACGUGCUACAAUGGUCGGUACAAAGGGUUGCUACCUCGCGAGAGGAUGCUAAUCUCAAAAAGCCGAUCGUAGUCCGGAUCGCAGUCUGCAACUCGACUGCGUGAAGUCGGAAUCGCUAGUAAUCGCGGAUCAGAAUGCCGCGGUGAAUACGUUCCCGGGCCUUGUACACACCGCCCGUCACACCAUGGGAGUUUGUUGCACCAGAAGUAGGUAGUCUAACCGCAAGGAGGACGCUUACCACGGUGUGGCCGAUGACUGGGGUGAAGUCGUAACAAGGUAAGCGUAGAUGA
RNAcentral lists this ribosomal RNA (525 nucleotides) under uncultured bacterium. RNAcentral describes it as "bacterial SSU rRNA". It matches the Rfam family "Bacterial small subunit ribosomal RNA", at positions 986 to 1509 of the family's 1533-position model. The record is from RNAcentral.